RNAcentral lists this transfer RNA (90 nucleotides) under Planctomycetia bacterium. Its description in RNAcentral is "tRNA-Ser". It matches the Rfam family "tRNA". Rfam says of the family: Transfer RNA (tRNA) molecules are approximately 80 nucleotides in length. Their secondary structure includes four short double-helical elements and three loops (D, anti-codon, and T loops). The record is from RNAcentral. Lineage: Bacteria; Pseudomonadati; Planctomycetota; Planctomycetia.
GGAGAGGUGGCAGAGUGGUCGAAUGCACCGGUUUGCUAAAUCGGCAUCGCGGGUAAACUGCGAUCGGGGGUUCGAAUCCCCCCCUCUCCG